This 377-nucleotide ribosomal RNA is filed under the name uncultured bacterium. RNAcentral describes it as "bacterial SSU rRNA". It matches the Rfam family "Bacterial small subunit ribosomal RNA", at positions 523 to 898 of the family's 1533-position model. The record is from RNAcentral.
AUAGGUAGGGGGCAAGCGUUGUCCGGAAUUACUGGGCGUAAAGGGUGCGUAGGCGGCCGAUUAAGUCAGAUGUGAAAUACCAGGGCUUAACCCUGGGGGUGCAUUUGAAACUGGUUGGCUUGAGUGCAGGAGAGGAAAGUGGAAUUCCUAGUGUAGCGGUGAAAUGCGUAGAGAUUAGGAGGAACACCAGUGGCGAAGGCGACUUUCUGGACUGUAACUGACGCUGAGGCACGAAAGCGUGGGUAGCGAACAGGAUUAGAUACCCUGGUAGUCCACGCCGUAAACGAUGGAUACUAGGUGUAGGAGGUAUCGACCCCUUCUGUGCCGUAGUUAACGCAAUAAGUAUCCCGCCUGGGGAGUACGGCCGCAAGGCUGAA